CCUACGGGUGGCAGCAGUGAGGAAUAUUGGUCAAUGGGCUUACGCCUGAACCAGCCAAGUCGCGUGAGGGAAGACUGCCCUAUGGGUUGUAAACCUCUUUUGUCAGGGAGCAACGCCGGCUACGUGUAGCCGGACUGAGAGUACCUGAAGAAAAAGCAUCGGCUAACUCCGUGCCAGCAGCCGCGGUAAUACGGAGGAUGCGAGCGUUAUCCGGAUUUAGUGGGUGUAAAGGGAACGCAGGCGGUCUUUUAAGUCUGAUGUGAAAGCCUUGGGCUUAACCCGAGGAUUGCAUAUGGAACUAUCAGGCUAGAGUACAGGAGAGGAAAGCGGAAUUCCUGGUGUAGCGGUGAAAUGCGUAGAUAUUAGGAAGAACACCAGUGGCGAAGGCGGCUUUCUGGACUGAAACUGACGCUGAGGCACGAAAGCGUGGGGAGCGAACAGGAUUAGAUACCCGGGUAGUC
This 461-nucleotide ribosomal RNA is filed under the name uncultured bacterium. Its description in RNAcentral is "partial 16S ribosomal RNA". It matches the Rfam family "Bacterial small subunit ribosomal RNA", at positions 338 to 795 of the family's 1533-position model. The record is from RNAcentral.